GACGAACGCUGGCGGCGUGCUUAACACAUGCAAGUCGAACGAAGAGCGAUGGCAGCUUGCGUCUAUCAAUGUUAGUGGCGGACGGGUGAGUAACGCGUAAUCAACCUGCCCUUCAGAGGGGGACAACAGUUGGAAACGACUGCUCAUACCGCAUACGAUCUAAUCUCGGCAUCGAGGAUAGAUGAAAGGUGGCCUCUACAUGUAAGCUAUCACUGAAGGAGGGGAUUGCGUCUGAUUAGCUAGGUGGAGGGGGAACGUCCAACCAAGGCGAUGAUCAGUAGCCGGUUUGCGAGGAUGGUCAGCCACAUUGUGACUGAGACACGGCCCAGCGGCAUACGGGAGGCAGCAGUGGGGAAUCUUCCGCAAUGGACGUAAGUCUGACGGAGCAACGCCGCGUGAGGUAGGACUGCCUUCGGGUUGUAAAGCACGGUUAAUCGGGACGAAAGGCCUUCUUGCGAACAGUUAGAAUGAUUGACGGUACCGGAAUAGAAAGCUACGGCUAACUACGUG
This 510-nucleotide ribosomal RNA is filed under the name uncultured bacterium. Its description in RNAcentral is "partial 16S ribosomal RNA". It matches the Rfam family "Bacterial small subunit ribosomal RNA", at positions 28 to 507 of the family's 1533-position model. The record is from RNAcentral.